Molecule: non-coding RNA, 23 nt
Filed under: Arabidopsis thaliana (thale cress)
Lineage: Eukaryota; Viridiplantae; Streptophyta; Magnoliopsida; Brassicales; Brassicaceae
Also listed under: 1 other name
Source: RNAcentral
GUGGACGUGCCGGAGUGGUUAUC